This is a long non-coding RNA of Ictalurus punctatus (channel catfish), 397 nucleotides long. The record is from Ensembl. Lineage: Eukaryota; Metazoa; Chordata; Actinopteri; Siluriformes; Ictaluridae.
GGACAGAGUAGUGUCUUCUAGCUAUAUUGCUUCGUAUUUAAUACUUUCAAGCAAUUAUUUUAGGGAAUAUGCACACUAGGAUAUUCUUGUUGUCAUUCUGUUCACCAUAAGUUGAAGAAAGAUUCUGAUAUAAUCGGUUUUUGCAAUUUUUUUAAUUUUUUUAUUUGUAUUGUACAGUUAGCCUGUUUACUUUGUUUAUUGUGAGCUAACCCUUCGCUAAGAGACUAUGGCUGAGGAUGAAAACCUGGACAUGCUGCCCUCCUUAUUUGAGAAGAAAGAGGGUCCGGAUCCAGAGAACUCCUCAGAAGAAAGUGAGCACAAUCAUACCAAAGAGGACCAGAAAGGGUCACGGGGAAACCUGGAGCCUAUCCCAGGGAACAUCGGGCACAAGGCAGGG